GAGUUUGAUCGUGGCUCAGGAUGAACGCUGGCGGCGUGCCUAAUACAUGCAAGUCGAACGCUUCACUUCGGUGAAGAGUGGCGAACGGGUGAGUAAUACAUAAGUAACCUGGCAUCUACAGGGGAUAACUGAUGGAAACGUCAGCUAAGACCGCAUAGGUGUAGAGAUCGCAUGAACUCUAUAUGAAAAGUAGCUACGGGACUGGUAGAUGAUGGACUUAUGGUGCAUUAGCUGGUUGGUGGGGUAACGGCCUACCAAGGCGACGAUGCGUAGCCGACCUGAGAGGGUGACCGGCCACACUGGGACUGAGACACGGCCCAGACUCCUACGGGAGGCAGCAGUAGGGAAUUUUCGGCAAUGGGGGGAAACCCUGACCGAGCAACGCCGCGUGAAGGAAGAAGUAAUUCGUUAUGUAAACUUCUGUCAUAGAGGAAGAACGGUGGAUAUAGGGAAUGAUAUCCAAGUGACGGUACUCUAUAAGAAAGCCACGGCUAACUACGUGCCAGCCGCCGCGGUAAC
This 519-nucleotide ribosomal RNA is filed under the name uncultured microorganism. RNAcentral describes it as "bacterial SSU rRNA". It matches the Rfam family "Bacterial small subunit ribosomal RNA", at positions 9 to 524 of the family's 1533-position model. The record is from RNAcentral.